This 183-nucleotide unclassified non-coding RNA is filed under the name soil metagenome. Its description in RNAcentral is "partial internal transcribed spacer 1". The record is from RNAcentral.
GAGAAUUGUACCAAAAACAAUAUGGACAAUCCAUCCAUAUCCCACCUUGUGUGCACCCAUUGAAACCAUGCUUUGGGAGGUUUCUCCUCUGUUGGAAUUGGAGAUACUCAAGCCUCCCAAGGUUUUUGUUCUCGCAACACUUUUUUUUUUAUCCUGAAAAAUCAAACAUAAUAAUAAUAAAUA